RNAcentral lists this long non-coding RNA (734 nucleotides) under Bos taurus (domestic cattle). RNAcentral describes it as "long non-coding RNA NONBTAT015953". The record is from RNAcentral. Lineage: Eukaryota; Metazoa; Chordata; Mammalia; Artiodactyla; Bovidae.
UCUUUAAAGCAGUGUCUGCUGUGCUGCAACAAUAGCCAGGAACAGCAUGGUGUGGCCAUUUCUUGUCUCAAACAGCUGAGGAACAAGGCUUGUGACAUUCUGGCCAUUGAUAAGUCCCUGGCACCAGUCACCCUGCCUGGCAGACGAUGUCACUAUAGCGGAUGACAAUGAUUACUUCCUGUGUCUUCCUACCAAUACUAAGUUUGUGGCUUGGCUGGGAAUGAGAAGUGGACACACAAUUCAGAUGGAGGUACAGCUUGGAUUACCCAGGAAUCCUUCAACAGAGGUGAAACAGCAGGGCAGGGUUGAAGUGGAAGAACGUGACCAGGCAGCUGAAGGAAGACCUAUCCAGUAUCAUCCUGCUGUCUGAGGAGGAGCUCCAGAUGCUCAUUAAUGUCCUGUGUUUGGAGCUGGCUCAGGAACUCGGCCAAAGUCAUGUGGCAGUCCAGGGGCUCCAGCAGGUGCUUGACCAGAAAGAGGAAGCCCGUCAAUCCAGGCAGCUCCUGGGACUUUACCUCUGGGCUUUGGAGAAGGAAGGUAGCAUCUUAUUGAAGCAGCAAGAGUCCAGAACUGACCUCAGGGACAAGAGGGAAGUUGUUGACAUGAGUGUUAGAGAGAGCUCCUCCAAAGUUACACCUGCGAGCCAGAUCCUCUUGGAGCUAAAGGAGAAACCUGCCCCAGAGCUGAGUUUGUCUAGUGAGGAUCUGGAGGUGGGCGAGCACCAGGGACCCUGA